GGGGAGCUUGAAGUUCGGCGGGGUUGGUUCCUGCAUAAUCCUUUGAGAGAAAGGAGGGUCAGUACAAAUAUUCUCACCGUAAGCAGGGGGAGCAUGACGGAGCUCUUCGAUCUGCUGGUUCAUCUCUUGGAACCUUUGAUCCAGGAGAUCCUCUCGAUCGUGAAUCUUGAGGGUCUUCUAGCAGAAUGGAGGUAGGAACCCUCCGGGGGUGGAAUCAUGAUCAGACAGAGGGCUCUCCACCCUCUGCUUUCCCUUUUCGGGGGAUAUAGGGUGACUGACCCAAGUGCACCACCCGAUCGUUAGAUUCUGAAACUUUGAUGAUGCUCUUUCUAGCUGCACAGAUGCCUGUGACUACUGCUGGUGCUGCUAUUGCAUGGCCUGCAUCACUUCGGUGAGGCCCCUGACCUGCUGAACUAGUAGGUUGAACUGCUCCAUGCCAACUGUCGUUGUCGGAGGAGUCUGAAAAAUUGGAGAUGAGGUCGGAGCUGGCGUAUCUUACUAAGAUCUGGCCAUGGAGGCCAUAGAUCGCCUGGUGGAUGCCUUUCGGGGAGGCAUCAGGUUGGGAUCUGGUUGGAGAAGAAGAAGAUGUCGAAGAAGAUGACCGGAGACAGUCCCGUUGAGUACUCCUUUAAGAACAAGGGUCCUACGAAGAUGCAGGCCCCUCCUUCUAGUGCCAAUUCUGUUGGUGCAGAAUUCCAUCGAUCUCGAAGAAGCUGGAGUCGAGGGGAUCACGGUUGCCAUCGGGACC
RNAcentral lists this long non-coding RNA (748 nucleotides) under Elaeis guineensis (African oil palm). RNAcentral's name for it is "long non-coding RNA (EGUI_LNC079973)". The record is from RNAcentral. Lineage: Eukaryota; Viridiplantae; Streptophyta; Magnoliopsida; Arecales; Arecaceae.